RNAcentral lists this ribosomal RNA (251 nucleotides) under uncultured prokaryote. RNAcentral's name for it is "partial 16S rRNA". It matches the Rfam family "Bacterial small subunit ribosomal RNA", at positions 525 to 775 of the family's 1533-position model. The record is from RNAcentral.
ACGUAGGGAGCGAGCGUUGUCCGGAAUUACUGGGCGUAAAGGGCGCGUAGGCGGGUAUUUAAGUCAGAUGUGAAAAUCCCAGGCUCAACUUGGGAACUGCAUUUGAAACUGGGUAUCUUGAGGGCAGGAGAGGAAAGUGGAAUUCCUAGUGUAGCGGUGAAAUGCGUAGAUAUUAGGAGGAACACCAGUGGCGAAGGCGACUUUCUGGACUGUACCUGACGCUGAUGCGCGAAAGCGUGGGGAGCGAACGG